This 67-nucleotide transfer RNA is filed under the name Cucujoidea sp. 45 KM-2017. RNAcentral describes it as "tRNA-Ser". Lineage: Eukaryota; Metazoa; Arthropoda; Insecta; Coleoptera. The record is from RNAcentral.
AAUCAAUGAACUUGUAUAAGUGUAUACUUUGAAAGUAUAAAAAAGAGGAAUAACCCUCUAUUGGUUU